AAUAAGGACAUUGCUUGGUGACGACUGGGAAUGGAGCCUUAGAUCAAAUCAGUUGUCAUCAAUUUAAAACUGGUUGUCCAGUAGAAAAUUUCAGAGGAACUGACCUAUACAAAUUUUCAGAUUGCAGUAGAAUCAACACAGAAAAGCAAUGUUUUUAUGCUGAUCCAUCAUGUCAAAACACG
Long non-coding RNA from Saccostrea cuccullata (small rock oyster), 182 nucleotides. RefSeq lists it as uncharacterized. NCBI's taxonomy places the organism in Eukaryota, Metazoa, Mollusca, Bivalvia, Ostreida, Ostreidae. The record is from RefSeq and is a predicted model, not a curated record. The transcript is spliced from 2 exons.